AGCGAACGCUGGCGGCAGGCUUAACACAUGCAAGUCGAGCGCCCCGCAAGGGGAGCGGCAGACGGGAGAGUAACACGUGGGAACGUACCCUUUAGUUCGGAACAACCCAGGGAAACUUGGGCUAAUACCGGAUACGUCCGUAAGGAGAAAGAUUUAUCGCUAAAGGAUCGGCCCGCGUCUGAUUAGCUAGUUGGUGAGGUAACGGCUCACCAAGGCGACGAUCAGUAGCUGGUCUGAGAGGAAGAUCAGCCUCACUGGGACUGAGACACGGCCCAGACUCCUACGGGAGGCGGCAGUGGGGAAUAUUGGAAAAUGGGCGCAAGCAUGAGCCAGCCAUGCCGCGUGGGUGAUGAAGGCCCUAGGGUUGUAAAGCCCUUUCGGCGGGGAAGAUAAUGACGGUACCCGCAGAAGAAGCCCCGGCUAACUUCGUGCCAGCCGCCGCGGUAA
Molecule: ribosomal RNA, 447 nt
Filed under: uncultured bacterium
Lineage: Bacteria
Description: partial 16S ribosomal RNA
Rfam family: Bacterial small subunit ribosomal RNA
Source: RNAcentral